CCCAAUGCUGCAACUCCUGCAUACCCUCUGGCUGGCAACAUACGCAUACCGCACAGAGCCAACACUGAAGCCACUACAAGCACAAUUGCUCAAAGGCCUCAGAAGCGUCCUCGUUUACUCAAUGACCGAGAGCAUCUGGUGGCUUUGCAUCAAAAGAAGGAUAAGCAUCAUGACUGGCUGAAGCGUCAGAUGCAGAGUCUCUUGGUGGAUGUCAAUCGUAUUCGUAACUUGGCCACCAAAAACACAUUUGUUGCACAUGAAGCCCGUCGGCGGUCCUGGAAGAGCCUCACAUUGCUCUGUUCUGAAGAUGAUCUGCGCGUAGAUGGCUUCACAGAGAACUUCAAGUUUGACUCCAGACCUGUGAUACGUCUCCAACGUAUCUAUAAUUUUUGA
This 393-nucleotide ribosomal RNA is filed under the name Triticum aestivum (bread wheat). RNAcentral describes it as "partial small subunit ribosomal RNA". The record is from RNAcentral. Lineage: Eukaryota; Viridiplantae; Streptophyta; Magnoliopsida; Poales; Poaceae.